RNAcentral lists this long non-coding RNA (999 nucleotides) under Numida meleagris (helmeted guineafowl). RNAcentral describes it as "lncRNA (ENSNMEG00000020871.1)". The record is from RNAcentral. Lineage: Eukaryota; Metazoa; Chordata; Aves; Galliformes; Numididae.
AUGGGAGAAUUGAGCCCUUUAUGGCCAAAGCCAUGGCCAAGCCCAGUUUCUGGAUGAAAGGAUUCUGUCAAGAGCUGAAGGUCUCUCCACUGCCGCAGUCGCUCCCACAGGCAUCUUCUUCUGUCUCUCAGUUCACUAGGACAUUUUGACCCAGGUGCCAGCAUGUGUCAGGCUUUGCAGGCUCACAGCCUCAGUUAGAGCUGAGUGGGAAGAUGUAGACAGCACCCUCCCACAGCAAGCCAAAUUAAUCCCUGAGGUUACAGCAUUUUACUAAAUAGAUUCACUGAGCAGGAUGUGAAGUUAUGUCUCAGGUCUCAUCGGGGUUGUCAGUUCCCUCACUGCAAGGUUGGCAAAGUUACCCACAUUGGAGGUGGGGGACAGCUACAAAGAAGGAUGGUUCAAAACCUGAGUUCCCAUGCUUUUAGAGGCUCAGUUAUGGACAUGCUAUAUAUAAGUAUGAGAUUCUCAUGCUUUACAGGCAUAAACCUACCAGGCUGAUGAGGUGCAGCAACUGACAGCAUCUAGGAAACAUCCCCAGAACACCACAAAAAAUCUGCACUCCUGAUUUUGAGAGAUGUUGUGAUGCGUGGCCCAAAGGAAGCAUCCCUGCACCCAAGGAACAAGCCACUGCAUUUGUUGACAGUUUACAUGGUACACAGGAGGGAACUCUGCCCUGGGCAGGUGCUUGCCAUUGCUGUAUGUGCAGUCACAGUAAAUCCACGAACCACAGCCCUGACAGGUAAGAUGUCAGACUGGUCACUUUUGAAGGAAUGUUCUUUUAUGUGGUUGUAUGAUGUGAAAUCCUUGCAUCACGACAUCACUGUGGUCCACCUUGAGAAUAGGCACUUUCACAUUUCUCAUCUUUCACCAUCACUCAGGUUUCCCCACACGCGUUCAUGUGCACCUUUACAAGAGUAAGAAAAUGCUCUUGUGAAGUUGUUUAGAAAUCUCCAGUGCUGCUAACAUAGCAGGGUAAUAAAAUAUCUUUAAAAAGAGACA